Molecule: transfer RNA, 68 nt
Filed under: Verrucomicrobiota bacterium
Lineage: Bacteria; Pseudomonadati; Verrucomicrobiota
Description: Verrucomicrobia bacterium (bioreactor metagenome) tRNA-Tyr
Rfam family: tRNA
About the family: Transfer RNA (tRNA) molecules are approximately 80 nucleotides in length. Their secondary structure includes four short double-helical elements and three loops (D, anti-codon, and T loops).
Source: RNAcentral
CGUAGCUCAGAGGUAGAGCAGUCCGGGAGUAAUCCGGGACUGGGCGCGGGUUCGAAUCCCGUCGAGAU